UGGGGAAUCUUGCACAAUGGGGGCAACCCUGAUGCAGCGACGCCGCAUGAGCGAUGAAGCCCUUCGGGGCGUAAAGCUCUUUCGACCGGAACGAUAAUGACGGUACCGGGAGAAGAAGCUGCGGCUAACUACGUGCCAGCAGCCGCGGUAAUACGUAGGCAGCAAGCGUUGUUCGGAGUUACUGGGCGUAAAGAGUGCGUAGGCGGUUUUCUAAGUUCGGUGUGAAAUCUCCCGGCUUAACUGGGAGGGUGCGCCGAAGACUGGGAAGCUGGAUUGUGGGAAAGGCAGGCGGAAUUCCUGGUGUAGCUGUGAAAUGCGUAGAUAUCAGGAGGAACACCGGCGGUGUAGACGGCUUGCUAGACCAUAACUGACGCUGAGGCACGAAAGCGUGGGUAGCAAACA
This 402-nucleotide ribosomal RNA is filed under the name uncultured bacterium. Its description in RNAcentral is "bacterial SSU rRNA". It matches the Rfam family "Bacterial small subunit ribosomal RNA", at positions 355 to 774 of the family's 1533-position model. The record is from RNAcentral.